CGUCAUCACAGGUCAAUUAGGUAUGCCUUCACCGAAUCGUCCAAUGCAUGAUUUGUUUGAUCGAGAAUUGCAAAGUGAACAACAGUACAAUAUCAAUAAAUUGCAAACAUUUGUGAAUUGGAAUUUACCCAAAUUGAACGACCAACAAAAACAUGUUUACGAUAACUUUAUGCAAGCAGUACAAAAUGAUGUUGGUGGAUUGUAUUUUUUGGAUGCAACAGGAGGAAUUGCGCUACUUUAUUGGAUGGUGGACGAACAGCACACUCAGCAAUAAACUGCCGUUAAGUGUGCAGGCGAUUGACAAUCCCACAUGCAACAUAUCAAGAAAUUCUGCAAAGGCAAAAGUUUUGCAGCAUGCAUCAUUUAUUCUAUUGGAUUAAUGUACAAUGACCCAUAAAAAAUAUCUGGAAGCAUUAAACAGAACAAUGCAAGAUCUACGUCGCAAUCAACAAAUUUUUGGUGGUGCACUAAUAUUUUUGUCAGGAGAUUUCCGACAAACAUUGCCCGUCAUUCCACGUGCAACGUUAGCGGAUCAGGUCAAUGCAUGAAUUUUAAGACUGCAUGCGGCGAAGCGCAUAGGGCCCACUAGUGUAUGUAUAAUUCCAUUAGCAUGUCUAGUAACAUCCAGGAUCCAACGCGUCGAGAACAUAGUUCCUGCAUUUUCUUUAUAUAUUUUAUAUAUACAUAUAUUCUCGUUUUC
Long non-coding RNA from Drosophila teissieri, 700 nucleotides. RefSeq lists it as uncharacterized. NCBI's taxonomy places the organism in Eukaryota, Metazoa, Arthropoda, Insecta, Diptera, Drosophilidae. The transcript is spliced from 3 exons. The record is from RefSeq and is a predicted model, not a curated record.